Molecule: ribosomal RNA, 460 nt
Filed under: uncultured bacterium
Lineage: Bacteria
Description: bacterial SSU rRNA
Rfam family: Bacterial small subunit ribosomal RNA
Source: RNAcentral
ACUCCUACGGGAGGCAGCAGUAGGGAAUCUUCCACAAUGGACGAAAGUCUGAUGGAGCAACGCCGCGUGAGUGAAGAAGGGUUUCGGCUCGUAAAACUCUGUUGUUAAAGAAGAACAUAUCUGAGAGUAACUGUUCAGGUAUUGACGGUAUUUAACCAGAAAGCCACGGCUAACUACGUGCCAGCAGCCGCGGUAAUACGUAGGUGGCAAGCGUUGUCCGGAUUUAUUGGGGCAUAAAGCGAGCGCAGGCGGUCUUUUAAGUCUGAUGUGAAAGCCUUCGGCUCAACCGAAGAAGUGCAUCGGAAACUGGGAAACUUGAGUGCAGAAGAGGACAGGUGGAACUCCAUGUGUAGCGGUGAAAUGCGUAGAUAUAUGGAAGAACACCAGUGGCGAAGGCGGCUGUCUGGUCUGUAACUGACGCUGAGGCUCGAAAGUAUGGGGUAGCAAACAGGAUUAGAUA